This 241-nucleotide ribosomal RNA is filed under the name Eleotris sandwicensis (Sandwich Island sleeper). Its description in RNAcentral is "partial small subunit ribosomal RNA". It matches the Rfam family "Bacterial small subunit ribosomal RNA", at positions 530 to 891 of the family's 1533-position model. The record is from RNAcentral. Lineage: Eukaryota; Metazoa; Chordata; Actinopteri; Gobiiformes; Eleotridae.
AGGGGCUCAAGUUGAUGGCCCUCGGCGUAAAGAGUGGUUAAGAAAUAUAACACUAAAGCCAAACACCUUCAUAGCUGUCAUACGCACUUGAAGACAGGAAGACCUUCCACGAAAGUGGCUUUAAAAACUCUGAACCCACGAAAGCUAGGAUACAAACUGGGAUUAGAUACCCCACUAUGCCUAGCCAUAAACAAAAGUGGCAAACCCACCUCUGCCACUCGCCAGGGAACUACGAGCAUAA